RNAcentral lists this ribosomal RNA (1105 nucleotides) under Pseudoalteromonas sp. WED2.1. Its description in RNAcentral is "bacterial SSU rRNA". It matches the Rfam family "Bacterial small subunit ribosomal RNA", at positions 55 to 1156 of the family's 1533-position model. Lineage: Bacteria; Pseudomonadati; Pseudomonadota; Gammaproteobacteria; Alteromonadales; Pseudoalteromonadaceae. The record is from RNAcentral.
AUGCAAGUCGAGCGGUAACAGAAAGUAGCUUGCUACUUUGCUGACGAGCGGCGGACGGGUGAGUAAUGCUUGGGAACAUGCCUUGAGGUGGGGGACAACAGUUGGAAACGACUGCUAAUACCGCAUAAUGUCUACGGACCAAAGGGGGCUUCGGCUCUCGCCUUUAGAUUGGCCCAAGUGGGAUUAGCUAGUUGGUGAGGUAAUGGCUCACCAAGGCGACGAUCCCUAGCUGGUUUGAGAGGAUGAUCAGCCACACUGGGACUGAGACACGGCCCAGACUCCUACGGGAGGCAGCAGUGGGGAAUAUUGCACAAUGGGCGCAAGCCUGAUGCAGCCAUGCCGCGUGUGUGAAGAAGGCCUUCGGGUUGUAAAGCACUUUCAGUCAGGAGGAAAGGUUAACGGUUAAUACCCGUUAGCUGUGACGUUACUGACAGAAGAAGCACCGGCUAACUCCGUGCCAGCAGCCGCGGUAAUACGGAGGGUGCGAGCGUUAAUCGGAAUUACUGGGCGUAAAGCGUACGCAGGCGGUUUGUUAAGCGAGAUGUGAAAGCCCCGGGCUCAACCUGGGAACUGCAUUUCGAACUGGCAAACUAGAGUGUGAUAGAGGGUGGUAGAAUUUCAGGUGUAGCGGUGAAAUGCGUAGAGAUCUGAAGGAAUACCGAUGGCGAAGGCAGCCACCUGGGUCAACACUGACGCUCAUGUACGAAAGCGUGGGGAGCAAACGGGAUUAGAUACCCCGGUAGUCCACGCCGUAAACGAUGUCUACUAGAAGCUCGGAGCCUCGGUUCUGUUUUUCAAAGCUAACGCAUUAAGUAGACCGCCUGGGGAGUACGGCCGCAAGGUUAAAACUCAAAUGAAUUGACGGGGGCCCGCACAAGCGGUGGAGCAUGUGGUUUAAUUCGAUGCAACGCGAAGAACCUUACCUACACUUGACAUACAGAGAACUUACCAGAGAUGGUUUGGUGCCUUCGGGAACUCUGAUACAGGUGCUGCAUGGCUGUCGUCAGCUCGUGUUGUGAGAUGUUGGGUUAAGUCCCGCAACGAGCGCAACCCCUAUCCUUAGUUGCUAGCAGGUAAUGCUGAGAACUCUAAGGAGACUGCCGGU